This 494-nucleotide ribosomal RNA is filed under the name uncultured bacterium. RNAcentral describes it as "partial 16S ribosomal RNA". It matches the Rfam family "Bacterial small subunit ribosomal RNA", at positions 28 to 507 of the family's 1533-position model. The record is from RNAcentral.
GACGAACGCUGGCGGCGUGCUUAACACAUGCAAGUCGAACGGAAAGGCCUGCUUUCCCUUGUGGAUUGCGGGUACUCGAGUGGCGAACGGGUGAGUAACACGUGAGUGAUCUGCCCCCAACUUGGGUAUAAGCCUGGGAAACUGGGUCUAAUUCCCGAUAGGACUGCAGGGUGGUGCCUGUGGUGGAAAACGAUUUUCUAGUGGUUGGGGAUGAGCUCGCGGCCUAUCAGCUUGUCGGUGGGGUAAUGGCCUACCAAGGCGGCGACGGGUAGCCGGCCUGAGAGGGUGGGCGGCGACAGUGGGACUGGGAGACGGCCCAGACUCCGACGGGAGGCAGCAGUGGGGAAUAUUGCACAAUGGGCGGAAGCCUGAUGCAGCGACGCCGCGUGGGGGAUGACGGGCUUCGGGUUGUAAACUCCUUUCGACCGCGAGGAAGCCACCUGGUUGGAAGGGUGGUGACGGUAGUGGUAGAAGAAGCACCGGCUAACUACGUG